AUUGAACGCUGGCGGCAUGCCUUACACAUGCAAGUCGAACGGUAACAGGUCUUCGGAUGCUGACGAGUGGCGAACGGGUGAGUAAUACAUCGGAACGUGCCUAGUAGUGGGGGAUAACUACUCGAAAGAGUGGCUAAUACCGCAUGAGAUCUACGGAUGAAAGCAGGGGAUCGCAAGACCUUGUGCUACUAGAGCGGCCGAUGGCAGAUUAGGGAGUUGGUGGGAUAAAAGCUUACCAAGCCGACGACCUGUAGCUGGUCUGAGAGGACGAUCAGCCACACUGGGACUGAGAAACGGCCCAGACUCCUACGGGAGGCAGCAGUGGGGAAUUUUGGACAAUGGGCGCAAGCCUGAUCCAGCAAUGCCGCGUGCAGGAUGAAGGCCUUCGGGUUGUAAACUGCUUUUGUACGGAACGAAAAGCCCCGGGUUAAUACCCUGGGGUCAUGACGGUACCGUAAGAAUAAGCACCGGCUAACUACGUGCCAGCCGCCGCCGUAA
RNAcentral lists this ribosomal RNA (498 nucleotides) under uncultured bacterium. RNAcentral describes it as "partial 16S ribosomal RNA". It matches the Rfam family "Bacterial small subunit ribosomal RNA", at positions 30 to 523 of the family's 1533-position model. The record is from RNAcentral.